RNAcentral lists this ribosomal RNA (408 nucleotides) under uncultured bacterium. Its description in RNAcentral is "partial 16S ribosomal RNA". It matches the Rfam family "Bacterial small subunit ribosomal RNA", at positions 28 to 526 of the family's 1533-position model. The record is from RNAcentral.
GACGAACGCUGGCGGCGUGCUUAACACAUGCAAGUCGAACGAAGUGGCGGACGGGUGAGUAACGCGUAAUCAACCUGCCCUUCAGGGGGGGACAACAGUUGGAAACGACUGCUAAUACCGCAUACUGAAGAGGGGGUUUGCGUCUGAUUAGCUAGUUGGGGGGGUAACGGCCCACCAAGGCGAUGGUCAGUAGCCGGUCUGAGAGGAUGAACGGCCAAAAUGGGAAUGGGAAACGGGCCAGACUCCCACGGGAGGGAGCAGGGGGGAAACUUCCGCAAUGGACGAAAGUCUGACGGAGCAACUCCGCGGGAGUGAUGACGGCCUUCGGGUUGUAAAGGUCUGUUAAGCGGGACGCGGUACCGGAAGAGAAAGCCACGGCUAACUACGUGCCAGCAGCCGCGGUAAUAC